AAGGAAUAUUGGUCAAUGGACGCAAGUCUGAACCAGCCAUGCCGCGUGAAGGAUUAAGGCCCUCUGGGUUGUAAACUUCUUUUAUAUGGGACGAAAUGUGCCGACUCUUCGGCACUUGACGGUACCAUAGGAAUAAGCACCGGCUAACUCCGUGCCAGCAGCCGCGGUAAUACGGAGGGUGCAAGCGUUAUCCGGAGUCACUGGGUUUAAAGGGUGCGUAGGCGGGCAGGUAAGUCAGUGGUGAAAUCUUCCGGCUUAACCGGAAAACUGCCGUUGAUACCAUUUGUCUUGAAUAUUGCGGAGGUAAGCGGAAUAUGUCAUGUAGCGGUGAAAUGCAUAGAUAUGACAUGGAACACCAAUUGCGAAGGCAGCUUACUACACAAUGAUUGACGCUGAUGCACGAUAGCGUGGGGAGCGAACA
RNAcentral lists this ribosomal RNA (421 nucleotides) under uncultured bacterium. RNAcentral's name for it is "bacterial SSU rRNA". It matches the Rfam family "Bacterial small subunit ribosomal RNA", at positions 356 to 774 of the family's 1533-position model. The record is from RNAcentral.